Molecule: non-coding RNA, 30 nt
Filed under: Mus musculus (house mouse)
Lineage: Eukaryota; Metazoa; Chordata; Mammalia; Rodentia; Muridae
Source: RNAcentral
UUGAAGCUAAUCUUGGGAGUUCACUCAUCC